ACAGGCACAGUUAGGCCUCAGGCCUCUUCAACAGAUUAUCUAAUUUGCACUGGAUUAUAUGGCAGUGUAGACUCAAGGCCCUUCCACACAGCUAUAUAACCCAUUUAGAAUCUUAUAUUAUCUGCUUGGCACUGGAUUAUAUUGACUCCACACUGUCAUAUAAUCCACUUCAGUGUGCAUUUUAUACAGCUGUGAAGAAGGGGGCUCAUAUAAUCCAGUGCUAAGCAGAUAAUAUAAGAUUAUAAAUAUACAGUAGAGUCUCACUUAUCCAACAUAAAUAGGUCGGCAGAACGUUGGAUAAGUGAAUAUGUUGGAUAAUAAGCAAUCACAACACAUGGACAACGUAUAAAUACUAUACAAUACUACACAGGGACAUAGACCCCCUCUACUCUCACCACUUUCACAGUACACAAACAACCAAAUGCAUACUAAACAUAAAGACAACCGUACAACAGACAUUCAAUACCACCACUACCUCAACAAUUUCUCACCAACACCACCAGACAAGCCACAGCAAUGCGUGGCCGGGCACAGCUAGUAAUUUAUAUAUAUAUAUUCACAUCUUAAACUUAAACUCAUGUCCCCAAGGUGGCUAAAUAUACAGAUAAAAGCUGUAUACAGCAUUUGUUCACAUUAAUAAAAAACUAAAAUAGCAUAAGUUCAUUUUAAAAAAUCCAUAAAAUAAUCAAAGCUGCUAAAAUUAUUAACAGUUCUUUAAAACAUUGUAAAAUAAAAUUGAAAAGUGAUUUAGCUUAUUGUCUAAAUUAUGGCAAUAACAAAGAGAAAAGAACAAAAACUAAAUGGAUUAACCACUGAAAAGACUUAUAUUUGCAAUUUAAGUCUGUUAUCAAGCUGUAGCUAUGUUUUACUUCAACAAAUAUUGUAAAUUUUCUUUUAAACAAUGGUGGAAUUUUUAGGUUUUUAUUUGUGGUAUAUUGGAUAAGAGAUAUCAUUGCAGUAGUACAAUUUUUGUUACAUUGAUUUGCUAAUUUUUAAACUACAUUAAUCCUUCUGCAUCUGUGGAUGCUGCAAGAUUGUCACUUUGUUCUGCAAUGUACUGAUUACAUACAUCUCCCAUCUGAGGUUUUUAUUUUAUUUUCUUUCACAUAGUGUAUCCAAUUUUAUUUUAUUUUAAAUAUAUAUUUCUAACAUAUCUUUUAAGGAAGAUUGCAUUUGUCACCCAGAAACAAAGUCUUGCAUGAUUUAGUCAAAUCUCAGAGUUGUGCUAUUCUUCUAGGAUUUUUAAAGGAGUAUGGACAAAGAAAAGUAAUAUAUGAUUUAAGAGGGAUUUAUAUCCAAAUUGUUGUGGAAAUCUGAAAGUGCAAACAUUGCUUCUAUAGGAAGAGUGGCUAUCCUGGUGUGCUCCAAUUGUCACUGAAAUGGGCUCAUAAUGCCAGAUCUUGCUUUUAAGC
RNAcentral lists this long non-coding RNA (1412 nucleotides) under Anolis carolinensis (green anole). RNAcentral's name for it is "lncRNA (ENSACAG00000042740.1)". The record is from RNAcentral. Lineage: Eukaryota; Metazoa; Chordata; Lepidosauria; Squamata; Anolidae.